GGGGCUGAUUCUGGAUUCGACAGGAUUUGCAAAGCCCUAGGAGCAUGCCGAGGGGCGGUUUGCCUCGUAAAAAGCCGCAAAAAAAUAGUUGCAAACGACGAAAACUACGCACUAGCAGCUUAAUAACCUGCUUAGAGCCCUCUCUCCCUAGCUUCCGUUCUUAAGACGGGGAUCAAGAGAGGUCAAACCUAAAAGAACUCGCGUGAAUACCUUGCCUGGGGUUGAAGCGCUAAAAUCUAAUCAGGCUAGUUUGUCAGUGGCGUGUCCGUUCGCAGCUGACCGGCGAAUGUAAAGAUGGACUAAGCAUGUAGUGCCGACGGUGUAGUAAUUCUGGACGCGGGUUCAACUCCCGCCAGCUCCACCA
Molecule: transfer-messenger RNA, 364 nt
Filed under: Pantoea agglomerans
Lineage: Bacteria; Pseudomonadati; Pseudomonadota; Gammaproteobacteria; Enterobacterales; Erwiniaceae
Also listed under: 7 other names
Rfam family: transfer-messenger RNA
About the family: Bacterial tmRNA, also known as 10Sa RNA or SsrA, is named for its dual tRNA and mRNA-like properties. Its role is to liberate the mRNA from a stalled ribosome.
Source: RNAcentral